RNAcentral lists this ribosomal RNA (305 nucleotides) under uncultured bacterium. RNAcentral describes it as "bacterial SSU rRNA". It matches the Rfam family "Bacterial small subunit ribosomal RNA", at positions 335 to 641 of the family's 1533-position model. The record is from RNAcentral.
CCCCUACGGAGGCAGCAGUGAAGAAUAUUGGUCAAUGGGCGGGAGCCUGAACCAGCCAAGCCGCGUGAGGGAAGAAGGUACAGCGUAUCGUAAACCUCUUUUGUCAGGGAACAAAGGCGGGGACUAGUCCCCGGAUGAGGGUACCUGAAGAAAAAGCAUCGGCUAACUCCGUGUCAGCAGCCGCGGUAAUACGGAGGAUGCGAGCGUUAUCCGGAUUUAUUGGGUUUAAAGGGUGCGCAGGCGGCCUGUUAAGUCAGCGGUAAAAGCCCGGGGCUCAACCCCGGCGAGCCGUUGAAACUGCAUCC